RNAcentral lists this transfer RNA (73 nucleotides) under Melosira undulata. RNAcentral describes it as "tRNA-Gln". It matches the Rfam family "tRNA". Rfam says of the family: Transfer RNA (tRNA) molecules are approximately 80 nucleotides in length. Their secondary structure includes four short double-helical elements and three loops (D, anti-codon, and T loops). The record is from RNAcentral. Lineage: Eukaryota; Bacillariophyta; Melosirophyceae; Melosirales; Melosiraceae.
UGGGAUAUAGCUAAGCGGUAAAGCAUUCGUUUUUGGUAUGAAGAAUCAAAGGUUCGAUUCCUUUUAUCCCAUA